GGGGAAUAUUGGACAAUGGGCGAAAGCCUGAUCCAGCGACGCCGCGUGAGCGAUGAAGUAUUUCGGUAUGUAAAGCUCUAUCAGCAGGGAAGAAAACGACGGUACCUGACUAAGAAGCCCCGGCUAACUACGUGCCAGCAGCCGCGGUAAUACGUAGGGGGCAAGCGUUAUCCGGAUUUACUGGGUGUAAAGGGAGCGUAGACGGCAUCACAAGUCAGAAGUGAAAAUCCGGGGCUCAACCCAUGAACUGCUCUCAAAACUGUAUCCCUUGAGUAUCGGAGAGGCAAGCGGAAUUCCUAGUGUAGCGGUGAAAUGCGUAGAUAUUAGGAGGAACACCAGUGGCGAAGGCGGCUUGCUGGACGACAACUGACGCUGAGGCGCGAAAGCGUGGGGAGCAAACAGGAUUAGAUACCCUGGUAGUCCACGCUGUAAACGAUGAAUACUAGGUGUGGGAGGACUGACCCCUUCCGUGCCGCAGUUAACACAAUAAGUAUUCCACCUGGGGAGUACGACCGCAAGGUUGAAACUCAAAGGAAUUGACGGGGGCCCGCACAAGCAGUGGAUUAUGUGGUUUAAUUCGACGCAACGCGAAGAACCUUACCAGGAUUUGACAUCCAACUAACGAAGUAGAGAUACAUCAGGUACCCUUCGGGGGAAGUUGAGACAGGUGGUGCAUGGUUGUCGUCAGCUCGUGUCGUGAGAUGUUGGGUUAAGUCCCGCAACGAGCGCAACCCCUAUUGUUAGUUGCUACGAAAGAGCACUCUAGCGAGACUGCCGUUGACAAAACGGAGGAAGGCGGGGACGACGUCAAAUCAUCAUGCCCCUUAUGUCCUGGGCUACACACGUAAUACAAUGGCGGUCAACAGAGGGAAGCAAAGCCGCGAGGUGGAGCAAAUCCCUAAAAGCCGUCUCAGUUCGGAUUGCAGGCUGCAACUCGCCUGCAUGAAGCUGGAAUUGCUAGUAAUCGCGGAUCAGCAUGCCGCGGUGAAUACGUUCCCG
This 999-nucleotide ribosomal RNA is filed under the name uncultured bacterium. Its description in RNAcentral is "bacterial SSU rRNA". It matches the Rfam family "Bacterial small subunit ribosomal RNA", at positions 356 to 1376 of the family's 1533-position model. The record is from RNAcentral.